Molecule: ribosomal RNA, 403 nt
Filed under: bacterium
Lineage: Bacteria
Description: partial 16S ribosomal RNA
Rfam family: Bacterial small subunit ribosomal RNA
Source: RNAcentral
UGGGGAAUAUUGCACAAUGGGGGAAACCCUGAUGCAGCGACGCCGCGUGAACGAAGAAGGUAUUCGUAUCGUAAAGUUCUGUCCUAUGGGAAGAUAAUGACAGUACCAUAGAAGAAAGCUCCGGCUAAAUACGUGCCAGCAGCCGCGGUAAUACGUAUGGAGCGAGCGUUGUCCGGAAUUAUUGGGCGUAAAGGGUACGCAGGCGGUUUAAUAAGUCGAAUGUUAAAGAUCGGGGCUCAACCCCGUAAAGCAUUGGAAACUGAUAAACUUGAGUAGUGGAGAGGAAAGUGGAAUUCCUAGUGUAGUGGUGAAAUACGUAGAUAUUCGGAGGAAUACCAGUAGCGAAGGCGACUUUCUGGACACAAACUGACGCUGAGGUACGAAAGCGUGGGGAGCAAACAGG